GACGAACGCUGGCGGCGUGCUUAACACAUGCAAGUCGAACGAUGAUCUCCCGCUUGCGGGGGUGAUUAGUGGCGAACGGGUGAGUAAUACGUGAGUAACCUGCCCUUGACUCUGGGAUAAGCCUGGGAAACCGGGUCUAAUACUGGAUACUACUUCCUGCCGCAUGGUGGGGGGUGGAAAGGGUUUUACUGGUUUUGGAUGGGCUCACGGCCUAUCAGCUUGUUGGUGGAGUAAUGGCUCACCAAGGCGACGACGGGUAGCCGGCCUGAGAGGGUGACCGGCCACACUGGGACUGAGACACGGCCCAGACUCCUACGGGAGGCAGCAGUGGGGAAUAUUGCACAAUGGGCGGAAGCCUGAUGCAGCGACGCCGCGUGAGGGAUGACGGCCUUCGGGUUGGAAACCUCUUUCAGCAGGGAAGAAGCCACAAGUGACGGUACCUGCAGAAGAAGCGCCGGCUAACUACGUG
Molecule: ribosomal RNA, 469 nt
Filed under: uncultured bacterium
Lineage: Bacteria
Description: partial 16S ribosomal RNA
Rfam family: Bacterial small subunit ribosomal RNA
Source: RNAcentral